Daphnia carinata is the source of this 1098-nucleotide long non-coding RNA. RefSeq lists it as uncharacterized. The record is from RefSeq and is a predicted model, not a curated record. NCBI's taxonomy places the organism in Eukaryota, Metazoa, Arthropoda, Branchiopoda, Diplostraca, Daphniidae. The transcript has 4 exons.
GGCACUUUCCAACGGUGUUGCGUCCUUCGCCUGCUAUUGUUUUCUUUUUCUUUUCAUUUUCAGUAUAUUUUCCAAGUUUUUUUUAUUUAUAUUGAAUUUUUAUUUCGUGUAUGUGGAAGAUAAAUGACAAGAAUGUUAUUGGUUGGUUCGGAUUUAAGCCUUCUUUCUUUGGCGUAGUGUGAGUUGGAGCAGCCGUCGGCAAAUGUGAAAAACCCCUUUUUUGCAUAGACCAUGUAAAACAACAAAGCCAUGCUCUUAUGGUAUUGACAGCAGACUGCUGCGUUUAUGAAAAUUGCAAGCAUAAUGUUGAAAGAAAGAGGCUGCAAUGUGACCCUUCUCCUGACACAGAAGCUACUGUGUAAGUGAAUUAAUAUUGAGUUGUUAAAUGACUCAUAGCAAUCCAAAAUCGAUAACAGGAUUCCCAUACAGGGAACUCAAGUACCAAUGCCGAUGUAAAAUUAUGAGAAAAAUGUAUAGCAUUUGCUUUUAUUUUCACAUUUCAGUGGUAUUAGAGAAAGCUAGAAGUAGAAGAAAAACCUAAUUAAUCAUUCUUCUGUAUUAGUCUGAUUUGCCAGAUUUUCCUGAGCCAAUAGCUAGAAACAACAUCGAACCUCUCAACUAAUGUUUUCGUUCUUUAUUUCCCUUACGCCUGAUCCUUUUGAUCUCUGCCUUCUUUCCUCCUUGUGUCAAAAUCCCUAGAAACCAUCGUCCUUCCUGCACGCAACACAUUCAAAUUUGGAAUUCCCGCAGCUAACAUAUCCGAUGCCUGGUGAUAUUUAGUCUUGGUCUUCAGAUUAUUAUAUUUCACUAAAAAAAAUGGCAGCUACGUCACUUGCCCUUAAACAUCUGAACACAGGACGGCGGGGUUGGUUUUCCCAAGGCUUGCUUUCGGUAUUCCGUGUUCUUCGUGAUGUUGUUUCUCAUCAAAUUGCAUACAUAUGUGCCUUCUCUCUCCUUUUAUUUUUAAUAUUAGCCUUAGCCAUUAAGAUAUGAAUGUAAUUUUAUGGCUGACAGUUUUGAAGGGAUAGCGAAGAGAGGUAUCUUAUGUUUCUUUUUCAUUCCGAAGUGCUUUGGAAAUAGAGAACAUACACCAACCUA